Molecule: ribosomal RNA, 1503 nt
Filed under: uncultured rumen bacterium
Lineage: Bacteria
Description: bacterial SSU rRNA
Rfam family: Bacterial small subunit ribosomal RNA
Source: RNAcentral
AGAGUUUGAUCCUGGCUCAGAACGAACGCUGGCGGCGCGUCUUAAGCAUGCAAGUCGAGCGGGAUACGGGGGCUUGCUCCCGGUGAGAGCGGCGGACUGGCGAGGAACGCGUGGGCGACGCGCCCUCCGGAGGGGGACAGCCCGUGGAAACACGGGGUAAUACCCCAUGGCAUGGUUGGCUUGGAGGCCAGCCAUCAAAGGAGCUUCGGCUCCGCCGGGGGAGCGGCCCGCGACCCAUCAGCUAGUUGGCGGGGCAAGGGCCCACCAAGGCUACGACGGGUAUCCGGCCUGAGAGGGCGAACGGACGCAUUGGGACUGAGAUACGGCCCAGACUCCUACGGGAGGCAGCAGCUAAGAAUAUUCCGCAAUGGGCGAAAGCCUGACGGAGCGACGCCGCGUGCACGAUGGAGGCCGGAAGGUUGUAAAGUGCUUUUAUGACGGAGGAAGAAGCCGGGGAGGAAACGCCCCGGCGGCGACGGUACGCCAUGAAUAAGGGGCGGCUAAUUACGUGCCAGCAGCCGCGGUAACACGUAAGCCCCGAGCGUUGUUCGGAAUUAUUGGGCGUAAAGGGCGCGCAGGCGGCCGAGCAAGUCUGGAGUGAAAUCCCCGGGCCCAACCCGGGAACUGCUUUGGAAACUGCUUGGCUGGAGUCGCCGAAGGGAAGCCGGAAUUCCUGGUGUAGGGGUGAAAUCUGUAGAUAUCAGGAAGAACACCGAUGGCGAAGGCAGGCUUCCGGCGGACGACUGACGCUGAGGCGCGAAGGCGCGGGGAGCAAACAGGAUUAGAUACCCUGGUAGUCCGCGCAGUCAACGAUGCACACCGGGCGUCCGGACAUGAGUCUGGGUGCCGUAGCGAACGCGUUAAGUGUGCCGCCUGGGGAGUAUGCCCGCAAGGGUGAAACUCAAAGGAAUUGACGGGGGCCCGCACAAGCGGUGGAGCAUGUGGUUUAAUUCGAUGGUACGCGAGGAACCUUACCUGGGUUUGACAUGCACAGGAAUGAUAUAGAGAUAUGUCAGCGCAGCAAUGCGCCUGUGAACAGGUGCUGCAUGGCUGUCGUCAGCUCGUGCCGUGAGGUGUUGGGUUAAGUCCCGCAACGAGCGCAACCCCUACCGUCUGUUGCCAUCGGGUGAUGCCGGGCACUCAGGCGGAACUGCCGGCGACAAGCCGGAGGAAGGCGGGGACGACGUCAAGUCAUCAUGGCCCUUAUGUCCAGGGCUACACACGUGCUACAAUGGCCGCCACAGAGCGGAGCGAAGCGGCGACGCGGAGCGAAGCGCAAAAAAGCGGCCUCAGUCCGGAUCGGAGUCUGAAACCCGACUCCGUGAAGUUGGAAUCGCUAGUAAUCGCGCAUCAGCACGGCGCGGUGAAUACGUUCCCGGGCCUUGUACACACCGCCCGUCACACCAUCCGAGUGGAGUGCGCCCGAAGCCGGCAGUCCAACCGCAAGGAGGACGCUGUCGAAGGCUCGCUUCGUGAGGGGGGUGAAGUCGUAACAAGGUAGCC